UAGGUAACCGCACGAGUGUGCCAGGGUGGAACGAAAGGUGAAUGCUGUUGUCGAAAUAUGGAAUUUACAAUCAAGUUAUUAUUGGUGGUCGCCGCACAUGCCAUGCUACAAGCCGUCGGAGCAUCCCAAUCGGAUCCCUACCAAAUCCGCUUUAACGUAUCGGUACCUGGACGGCGGUUCUUUCCGUGUCUGCAAUGCUUCAAUUAUCCAUGCGAGGGAAAGGAAUUCUUUUACGACUACUCCUGCUGCCGCGUGUGUCGCAUCACAAGAUUCUGGGAACUUUGCGCGCGUGACAAAGCCGAUCCGCCUGUCGUGUGUCCGGAACACUACGUGUGCUUAGAAUUUUCUCGGGAAUGCAUGCGUAAAUACGGGGAAUAAAAAUGCUUGCGAAUG
Ixodes scapularis (black-legged tick) is the source of this 393-nucleotide long non-coding RNA. RefSeq lists it as uncharacterized. NCBI's taxonomy places the organism in Eukaryota, Metazoa, Arthropoda, Arachnida, Ixodida, Ixodidae. The transcript has 2 exons. The record is from RefSeq and is a predicted model, not a curated record.